AGAGUUUGAUCAUGGCUCAGAUUGAACGCUGGCGGCAGGCUUAACACAUGCAAGUCGAACGGUAACAGAACUAGCUUGCUAGUUGCUGACGAGUGGCGGACGGGUGAGUAACGCGUAGGAAUCUACCGAAUAGUGGGGGACAACAGUUGGAAACGGCUGCUAAUACCGCAUACGCCCUACGGGGGAAAGGAGGGGAUCUUCGGACCUUUCGCUAUUUGAUGAGCCUGCGUGAGAUUAGUUAGUUGGUGGGGUAAUGGCUCACCAAGGCGACGAUCUCUAGCUGGUCUGAGAGGAUGAUCAGCCACACUGGGACUGAGACACGGCCCAGACUCCUACGGGAGNCAGCAGUGGGGAAUAUUGCACAAUGGGGGAAACCCUGAUGCAGCCAUGCCGCGUGUGUGAAGAAGGCCUUCGGGUUGUAAAGCACUU
RNAcentral lists this ribosomal RNA (429 nucleotides) under uncultured bacterium. RNAcentral describes it as "bacterial SSU rRNA". It matches the Rfam family "Bacterial small subunit ribosomal RNA", at positions 8 to 435 of the family's 1533-position model. The record is from RNAcentral.